GCUGGGCAUGGUGGUGCGUGUCUGUAGUUCCAGCUUCUUGUGAGGCUGAGGCAGGAGGAUUGCUUGAGGCCAGGAGUUUGAGGAUGCAGUGAGCUAUGAUCAUGCCACUGCACUCCAGCCUGGGUGACAGAGCAAGACCCUGUCUCUA
Molecule: unclassified non-coding RNA, 148 nt
Organism: Pongo abelii (Sumatran orangutan)
Lineage: Eukaryota; Metazoa; Chordata; Mammalia; Primates; Hominidae
Rfam family: Metazoan signal recognition particle RNA
About the family: The signal recognition particle (SRP) is a universally conserved ribonucleoprotein. It is involved in the co-translational targeting of proteins to membranes.
Source: Ensembl